RNAcentral lists this ribosomal RNA (478 nucleotides) under uncultured bacterium. RNAcentral describes it as "bacterial SSU rRNA". It matches the Rfam family "Bacterial small subunit ribosomal RNA", at positions 28 to 503 of the family's 1533-position model. The record is from RNAcentral.
GGUGAACGCUAGCGGCAGGCUUAAUACAUGCAAGUCGUGGGGCAGCAUGAGUAGCAAUACUUGAUGGCGACCGGCAAACGGGUGAGGAACACGUACACAACCUUCCUUCAAGCGGGGAAUAGCCCAGAGAAAUUUGGAUUAACACCCCAUAAUAUAUUUGAUAAGGCAUCUUAUUAAUAUUAAAGCUUCGGCACUUGAUGAUGGGUGUGCGGCUGAUUAGAUAGUUGGCGGGGUAACGGCCCACCAAGUCUACGAUCAGUAGCUGAUGUGAGAGCAUGAUCAGCCACACGGGCACUGAGACACGGGCCCGACUCCUACGGGAGGCAGCAGUAAGGAAUAUUGGACAAUGGACGAAAGUCUGAUCCAGCCAUGCCGCGUGAAGGAUUAAGGUCCUCUGGAUUGUAAACUUCUUUAUAUGGGACGAAAAGGCAUUCUUGUUCACUUGACGGUACCGAUAUGAAUAAGCACCGGCUAACGU